AUUGAACGCUGGCGGCAUGCCUUACACAUGCAAGUCGAACGGUAACAGGUCCUUCGGGAUGCCGACGAGUGGCGAACGGGUGAGUAAUAUAUCGGAACGUGCCCAGUAGUGGGGGAUAACUGCUCGAAAGAGCAGCUAAUACCGCAUACGACCUGAGGGUGAAAGGGGGGGAUCGCAAGACCUCUCGCUAUUGGAGCGGCCGAUAUCAGAUUAGCUAGUUGGUGGGGUAAAGGCCUACCAAGGCAACGAUCUGUAGUUGGUCUGAGAGGACGACUAGCCACACUGGGACUGAGACACGGCCCACACGCCUACGGGAGGCAGCAGUGGGGAAUUUUGGACAAUGGGCGCAAGCCUGAUCCAGCAAUGCCGCGUGCAGGAAGAAGGCCUUCGGGUUGUAAACUGCUUUUGUCAGGGAAGAAAUCUUCUGGGCUAAUACCCCGGGAGGAUGACGGUACCUGAAGAAUAAGCACCGGCUAACUACGUGCCAGCCGCCGCAGUAA
Molecule: ribosomal RNA, 500 nt
Filed under: uncultured bacterium
Lineage: Bacteria
Description: partial 16S ribosomal RNA
Rfam family: Bacterial small subunit ribosomal RNA
Source: RNAcentral